AUGGCACUGUCUCACAUGACCUCUCAGAAAUAUUUGCUUUCUACAGCCCCUCAGAGCAAAGCAGCCUGGAUUUCCCAGUGCCUCAGAUGAGCCGGCUGGAGGAGGACACUUACCACAACAGUUAAACGGGUACCGGAAUACUUUUGGUGCUUUAAAAGAGAUUUUCAUCUGUCGGUUUCCAAACAUACAUCAAUUAAAUCUCAAAACAACCCUCUGAGGCUUCCAAUUCAGAAAUAAGAGAAGCCCUUGCUGGACUCCACAGGUUUCAAGGAAACGGACUUCCAUAAAUGUCCAAUCUGAUUCUUCAGAUGAUACAAUACACAGGGCUUGGAGCGGGAACAAAUCUCAGCGUUUUCCUGAGGAUGAAUGUUCAGUGUCUCAAGAGUUCCAGUCUGUGUCAAUACCAAGGCCACCUCCCCUCUGGGCACUAUGUGGCAUCUGUCCCCCCCCCCCCCCCACACACACACACAUCCAAGAGACACAAACCGGGAGGGCCUGGCUACACAGCGAAGCACUGUAGACUGCAGAGCUGCUACUGAUGGAGAAGACACAAAGGGCAACCGAGAAAUGCUCAACUCAUUCGCUGCGUGGGAUCACACAAGAAUGUCAAGGCUCAAGACCUUUCCCAAAAAGAUUUAUGAUGUGCAACUUAGUGAAUUAUCAUUUCCCAACUUUAUCCCCGGAUAUUAUUUGGGAAAUAAGGCCUUUACAGUUUAUGCAGUUCUGGUUUUCCUGUCCUCACUCACUCUCUAAAAUCUCAGGAGGAAAGCCAGAUGUUUUCCCAACUGUGUCACUCUCCGAAUGGACAGCCUAGGUAAAAAUACAGAGGCUAUGCCUAAGUUAAAUAUUAAAUUUAAGUCUGAACCUAUAUUUAAACCCAUCUCAUCUCCCACCCAGACCUCAAACACCCUACUUCUGAGCCUCUCACGCUCCUGAGGCGGACACGGGGUGGCAGAAGGGUCCCUGGCACGUGCUUGGAGCAGGAUAGGGGACGCCACGGCCAGGAAGCACUUUGGGCAGCGCGCUCUCCGACUCCCAGCAAUCCCCUCUGUGGGAAUAAAGAGGAGGAGCUCAAGGGCUCCGAUAUCCCUCUUCCUCGGCAGCGCUCCCUGCCUUCCAGGCCCACAGCCAGGCUGGGAGGCAGACAGCCAAGCGUUUUACCUCGGCCUUCUGCCCCAUGUCAGGCCCUGGGCAGAGCGGACUUGCCGUGAUGGAGGGGACCUCAGCAGCACAGCUGAGACCUCCCGACUCCCCAAGGCAGCGUGAACGUGACGUUGAUUACCCUGUUUGUUCCGUUUCAGUUAACCUGCUAGUUAACCUGCCUGCAGGAUCAAGACGUUGACUCUUGGCUACUGCCGAAGCAGCGCGGCUGGCGGCAGCCGACAGACACUGCUUCUCAUUCCUUACUCUCUCCCUCUGUUUCCAUGCUGUUCCCAUGCCCCAUGGGAAGGGGCAACCUUUCCGCUUCAAAUCUGUGCAGGCC
This is a long non-coding RNA of Struthio camelus australis, 1483 nucleotides long. RefSeq lists it as uncharacterized. Lineage: Eukaryota; Metazoa; Chordata; Aves; Struthioniformes; Struthionidae. The record is from RefSeq and is a predicted model, not a curated record.